Molecule: unclassified non-coding RNA, 2106 nt
Filed under: Hevea brasiliensis (rubber tree)
Lineage: Eukaryota; Viridiplantae; Streptophyta; Magnoliopsida; Malpighiales; Euphorbiaceae
Source: RNAcentral
GGGGUAUAUAACAAUAUUAUUUCAGCAUUGCACAUUUUGCACAUAGAAGCUCGCUAACUCUACAUGACUUCAAUGUGACUAGACUACUGACCAAAAACUCCCAUGAUAUUAGGAGUUAUGUCUAGCAUAUAAUCCAUUUCAGUAUUCUGAAAGCAUAAAUCUAUGAUAAGCUAACCCUUCACUGGUUAAAGAAUUAAUCAAAUUUUUUUCCUUUUCUUUUUGAAUUAUUUGUUAAUGGAAAAGUUAGUAUACCCAAAACACAAAUAAAAGAAAUAGAAAGUGCCAUCAAGCUGGAUUAACAGAGCAAACAUUUUCUACUUCAAUCCAACUGGAUCCAGGCACCUUCUUCACAUCCCUAUUCUCCAUGAGUUUUCUCAACAUCCUCACGCUUUCCCAAUUCUUAAGACCAGCAAACAUGUUAGACAAUAAAACAUAACUUGAAGGGUCUAUUUGAUCCAAAUCAAUUGCAUGCCUCGCUGCUCGCUUUCCAGUUUCCAUAUCCCCAUGAAGCUCACAAGCACCCAAUAAUGUCUGCCAAACAAGUACACCUUGUUUAAACGGCAUACUCAAGAUCAAUUCCUCUGCUUCCUUAAUAUGCCCAGCACGGCCAAGUAAAUUCACCAUACAUGCAUAGUGAUCUUCUCCCGGGGAGAUUCCAUGGUCUUUAGUCAUGGAGAAGAAAUAUUUCCACCCUUCAUCAAUAAACCCUCCUUGGCUACAAGCAUAAAGCACACAAAUGAAGGUGAUAUGAUUUGGUUCUACAGCCUCCAUCCUCAUCUCAUUAAAAAUCUCCAAAGCUUCUCUAGCUUGACCAUUUUGCGCACACCCCAUAAUCAUGGCUGUCCAUGAAACAACGGAUCGAUUAGGCAUUGAACGGAAAACAAUCCAUGCUUCAUCCAUGCAUCCAGAUUUUGCAUACAUAUCAAGUAGAGCAUUAUCCACACAGACAUCAACCUGAGAACCAAGUUUGAUUCUUAGACCAUGAACUUUUUUUCCAUCCUCCAAGGAAGCCAAGUCCGCACAGGCAUCAAGUGCGGUGGCAAGAGUGAAUUUGUUGGGCCUCAAACCCAUCUUCAGCAUCUCAGUAAUAAGUUCAAGCGCUUUGCCUGGAUCCCCACAAUGUAGGUAAUUAGAAGCCAUCUGAGUAUAAGAUCGCACAUCUGUACAAUUCAUUUCAUGAAAAGCCUCGGAACCAUCAAGCAUCCUCCAGUUCUUCAUAUACAUAUAACAAAGAGAAUUUCCAACACAAGUAUCAGCACCAUGACCACUCUUUAUAAGCUGUGCAUGAACUUGCAAACCAAUGUUGAGAUCAGAAAUAGCAGCCAAUCCACUAAAAACGGUCGCAAAAGUGAAGUGAUCGGGCUUGAAGCCCUCACAAUUCAUCUGAUACCAAAAACUCGGUAAUUGGAAAUAAGAAUGCUUCAAUAACCCAGACAUCAUGGCAUUCCAAGAGACAGUAUCCUUAUUUGGACACCCAUCAAAAACCUCUUUGGCCUCUAACAGCUUUCCAUGCCGUAUCAAAGCAGUUACAAAUGCAUUGACCACAAACACAUUGGAUUCAAAUCCUAAGCGAACGAUAUGCCCAUAAAUUUGGUACAUAUGGAUCGGAUUCUCUGAUAAGGAACAAGCAUGGAGUGCACUAACGACUGUAAACUCGUUGGGGGCUAACAUAGAAUCAUGUUGCAUGCGGGAAAAUAGAAAAAGAGCUUGGUGCGAACAGCCAUGUUGAACAAAACCAGAAAUGAUAGCGGACCAGGAUACGACAUUUCUCUCGCGCAUUUGGUCGAACAGUUUGAGAGCAUAAUUUAGAUGUCCACAUUUAACAUAAAAAUUAAGAAGGUGGUUGUAGAGGUAAAGGGAAGGAAGAAGGGUUUUGAAGAGCUUGGCAUGAAUGGCUCUUCCAUGGAGUAAGUUGCAGGAUUCCAAGCACCUGCGCAAGAGCUUAAUGUAAAGUUGGCCAUGUGAGGCACUAAUAGUACUUAUGGUUUGUGAAUGUGGACUUGAGCUGCGCAUCUGGCCAGCUAGUAACCAUCCAUUUCACCGUUGUAUAUAAAUCUCUCUUUCUUUUCAUACAAAUUAUAGAAAGGAAUCAUUUUAGGAUUUUUU